UGGGGAAUAUUGGACAAUGGGCGCAAGCCUGAUCCAGCCAUGCCGCGUGUGUGAAGAAGGCCUUUUGGUUGUAAAGCACUUUAAGCGAGGAGGAGGCUACUUGGAUUAAUACUCUAAGAUAGUGGACGUUACUCGCAGAAUAAGCACCGGCUAACUCUGUGCCAGCAGCCGCGGUAAUACAGAGGGUGCGAGCGUUAAUCGGAUUUACUGGGCGUAAAGCGUGCGUAGGCGGCUUCUUAAGUCGGAUGUGAAAUCCCUGAGCUUAACUUAGGAAUUGCAUUCGAUACUGGGAAGCUAGAGUAUGGGAGAGGAUGGUAGAAUUCCAGGUGUAGCGGUGAAAUGCGUAGAGAUCUGGAGGAAUACCGAUGGCGAAGGCAGCCAUCUGCCUAAUACUGACGCUGAGGUACGAAAGCAUGGGGAGCAAACAGG
This 429-nucleotide ribosomal RNA is filed under the name bacterium. RNAcentral's name for it is "partial 16S ribosomal RNA". It matches the Rfam family "Bacterial small subunit ribosomal RNA", at positions 355 to 776 of the family's 1533-position model. The record is from RNAcentral.